Molecule: transfer RNA, 73 nt
Filed under: Desulfosporosinus sp.
Lineage: Bacteria; Bacillati; Bacillota; Clostridia; Eubacteriales; Desulfitobacteriaceae
Description: tRNA-Ala
Rfam family: tRNA
About the family: Transfer RNA (tRNA) molecules are approximately 80 nucleotides in length. Their secondary structure includes four short double-helical elements and three loops (D, anti-codon, and T loops). Further hydrogen bonds mediate the characteristic L-shaped molecular structure. tRNAs have two regions of fundamental functional importance: the anti-codon, which is responsible for specific mRNA codon recognition, and the 3' end, to which the tRNAs corresponding amino acid is attached (by aminoacyl-tRNA synthetases). tRNAs cope with the degeneracy of the genetic code in two manners: having more than one tRNA (with a specific anti-codon) for a particular amino acid; and 'wobble' base-pairing, i.e. permitting non-standard base-pairing at the 3rd anti-codon position.
Source: RNAcentral
GGGGCCAUAGCUCAGCUGGGAGAGCACCUGCCUUGCACGCAGGGGGUCGUCGGUUCGAUCCCGACUGGCUCCA